Molecule: ribosomal RNA, 440 nt
Filed under: uncultured bacterium
Lineage: Bacteria
Description: partial 16S ribosomal RNA
Rfam family: Bacterial small subunit ribosomal RNA
Source: RNAcentral
CCUACGGGGGGCUGCAGUGGGGAAUAUUGCACAAUGGGCGAAAGCCUGAUGCAGCGACGCCGCGUGAGCGAAGAAGGCCUUCGGGUCGUAAAGCUCUGACCUAUGGGAAGAAAGAUGACGGUACCAUAGGAGGAAGCCCGGGCUAACUACGUGCCAGCAGCCGCGGUAAUACGUAGGGGGCGAGCGUUGUCCGGAAUGACUGGGCGUAAAGGGUACGUAGGCGGCUAGAUAAGUCAGAUGUGAAAGGCAUAGGCUUAACCUGUGUAAGCAUUUGAAACUGUCUAGCUUGAGUCAAGGAGAGGAAAGGGGAUUUCGGGGUGUAGCGGUGAAAUGCGUAGAUAUCAGGAGAAAUACAGGUGGCAAGGGGGACUUUCUGGAUUAAGACUGACGCGGGGGUACAAAAGCGGGGGGAGCAAACAGGAUUAGAUACCCCAUUAGUC